ACCCGACUCCAUGAAGCUGGAUUCGCUAGUAAUCGCGCAUCAGCCACGGCGCGGUGAAUACGUUCCCGGGCCUUGUACACACCGCCCGUCACACCAUGGAAGUCUGCAAUGCCCGAAGCCGGUGGCCUAACCACUUAUGUGGAAGGAGCCGUCUAAGGCAGGGCAGAUGACUGGGGUGAAGUCGUAACAAGGUAAC
This 196-nucleotide ribosomal RNA is filed under the name uncultured bacterium. Its description in RNAcentral is "partial 16S ribosomal RNA". It matches the Rfam family "Bacterial small subunit ribosomal RNA", at positions 1310 to 1500 of the family's 1533-position model. The record is from RNAcentral.